This is a long non-coding RNA of Daktulosphaira vitifoliae (grape phylloxera), 354 nucleotides long. RefSeq lists it as uncharacterized. NCBI's taxonomy places the organism in Eukaryota, Metazoa, Arthropoda, Insecta, Hemiptera, Phylloxeridae. The record is from RefSeq and is a predicted model, not a curated record. The transcript has 3 exons.
AAAAACAAAUAAUUAAGUAUGAGCCAUUUGAAUUGAAAAUAAAAUGUAACUUCAUUGAUAAUAUCUCGAACUAUUUUUUCAUUACAAAUAAAACGGGAAUUUUGAAGAGGUACCAAUUUGGGUUGAAUGGAAUGUCUCCCAAGUAACUAGUUUUUACAAUAUAAAUUUAAAAAAAAACAUAUUUUGACAUGAGUUUGAUUAUAUAAAUACAGAAAAGAAAUUGGCGAAUGCAAUCUACCCUAUCGCUUUCUUGAGUGGAGACUUUAAUAGCCACAACUGAUGAAAUUAUGAACUGUUAUAAGUAGUAAAAUUAUUCAAUUUAAUUGAACUGAGGUCUAAGUGUGAAUUGUAUAA